ACGAACGCUGGUGGCGUGCCUUAUACAUGCAAGUCGAGCGGGAUCCGGGGCAACCCGGUGAGAGCGGCGAACGGGUGAGUAACACGUGACCAACCUGCCCCCCAGGCGGGAAUAGCCUCCCCAACGGGAGAUUAAUGCCGGAUGCCGAGGCCCUCCGCAUGGAGGGUUGUCGAAAGCCUUCGGGCGCUGGGGGAUGGGGUCGCGGCGGAUUAGCUAGUUGGCGGGGCAACGGCCCACCAAGGCGACGAUCCGUAGCCGGCCUGAGAGGGUGACCGGCCACAUCGGGACUGAGAUACGGCCCGGACUCCUACGGGGGGCAGCAGUAGGGAAUAUUGCGCAAUGGGGGCAACCCUGACGCAGCAACGCCACGUGUGGGAAGACGCAUUUCGGUGUGUAAACCACUGUCGGCGGGGAACAAUGGGGCCUAGCGGCCGCUUGAGUGUACCCGCAAAGGAAGCACCGGCUAACUUCGU
Molecule: ribosomal RNA, 473 nt
Filed under: uncultured bacterium
Lineage: Bacteria
Description: bacterial SSU rRNA
Rfam family: Bacterial small subunit ribosomal RNA
Source: RNAcentral